RNAcentral lists this ribosomal RNA (542 nucleotides) under Sakaguchia sp. MARY 297. RNAcentral's name for it is "eukaryotic LSU rRNA". It matches the Rfam family "Eukaryotic large subunit ribosomal RNA", at positions 62 to 648 of the family's 3401-position model. The record is from RNAcentral. Lineage: Eukaryota; Fungi; Basidiomycota; Cystobasidiomycetes; Sakaguchiales; Sakaguchiaceae. RNAcentral also lists the same sequence under 1 other name.
AAACUAACAAGGAUUCCCCUAGUAACGGCGAGUGAAGUGGGAAAAGCUCAACUUUGAAAUCUGGCAGCUUCGCUGUCCGAGUUGUAGUCUCGAGAAGUGUUUUCCGCGCUGGACCAUGUAUGAGUCUGUUGGAAUACAGCGUCAUAGAGGGUGAGAACCCCGUUCAUGACAUGCCUUCCAGUGCUUUGUGAUACACUUUCGAUGAGUCGAGUUGUUUGGGAAUGCAGCUCAAAUUGGGUGGUAAAUUCCAUCUAAAGCUAAAUAUUGGGGAGAGACCGAUAGCAAACAAGUACCGUGAGGGAAAGAUGAAAAGCACUUUGGAAAGAGAGUUAAAAGUACGUGAAAUUGUUGAAAGGGAAACGCUUGAAGUCAGACGUGCGCAGCUUCGGCUAAUGCAGGCCAGCAUCGGUUUUGUGAGCCGGAUAAAAGUGGGAGGAAUGUGACAGUCUCGGCUGUGUUAUAGCCUCCUAUUGAAUACGGAUCGUGAGACCGAGGGAUGCAGCGUUCGCGCUUAGGAUGCUGGUGAAAUGGCUUUAAACGAC